RNAcentral lists this ribosomal RNA (442 nucleotides) under uncultured bacterium. RNAcentral describes it as "partial 16S ribosomal RNA". It matches the Rfam family "Bacterial small subunit ribosomal RNA", at positions 338 to 795 of the family's 1533-position model. The record is from RNAcentral.
CCUACGGGAGGCAGCAGUGAGGAAUAUUGGGCAAUGGGCGCAAGCCUGACCCAGCAAAGCCGCGUGAGGGAGGACGGCUUUCGGGUUGUAAAAUUCUUUUAAGAGGGAAGAGCAGAAGACGGUACCUCUUGACUAAGACACGGCUAACUCCGUGCCAGCAGCCGCGGUAAUACGUAGGUGGCGAGCGUUGUCCGGAUUUGCUGGGUGUAAAGGGCGUGUAGCCGGGCUGACAAGUCAGAUGUGAAAUCCCGUGGCUCAACCACGGACCCGCGUUUGAAACUGGCGGUCUUGAGUAGCGGAGAGGCAGGCGGAAUGCGUGGUGUAGCGGUGAAAUGCGUAGAUAUUAGGAGGAACACCAGUGGCGAAGGCGGCCUGCUGGAUGACAACUGACGGUGAGGCGCGAAAGCGUGGGGAGCAAACAGGAUUAGAUACCCCGGUAGUC